GAUGAACGCUGGCGGCGUGCCUAAUACAUGCAAGUCGAGCGAACGGACGAGAAGCUUGCUUCUCUGAUGUUAGCGGCGGACGGGUGAGUAACACGUGGAUAACCUACCUAUAAGACUGGGAUAACUUCGGGAAACCGGAGCUAAUACCGGAUAAUAUUUUGAACCGCAUGGUUCAAAAGUGAAAGACGGUCUUGCUGUCACUUAUAGAUGGAUCCGCGCUGCAUUAGCUAGUUGGUAAGGUAACGGCUUACCAAGGCAACGAUGCAUAGCCGACCUGAGAGGGUGAUCGGCCACACUGGAACUGAGACACGGUCCAGACUCCUACGGGAGGCAACAGUAGGGAAUCUUCCGCAAUGGGCGAAAGCCUGACGGAGCAACGCCGCGUGAGUGAUGAAGGUCUUCGGAUCGUAAACCUCUGUUAUUAGGGAAGAACAUAUGUGUAAGUAACUGUGCACAUCUUGACGGUACCUAAUCAGAAAGCCACGGCUAACUACGUG
RNAcentral lists this ribosomal RNA (497 nucleotides) under uncultured bacterium. RNAcentral describes it as "partial 16S ribosomal RNA". It matches the Rfam family "Bacterial small subunit ribosomal RNA", at positions 28 to 507 of the family's 1533-position model. The record is from RNAcentral.